RNAcentral lists this ribosomal RNA (482 nucleotides) under uncultured bacterium. RNAcentral describes it as "partial 16S ribosomal RNA". It matches the Rfam family "Bacterial small subunit ribosomal RNA", at positions 28 to 523 of the family's 1533-position model. The record is from RNAcentral.
GAUGAACGCUGGCGGCGUGCUUAACACAUGCAAGUCGAACGAUGAAGCCCAGCUUGCUGGGUGGAUUAGUGGCGAACGGGUGAGUAACACGUGAGUAACCUGCCCUUAACUCUGGGAUAAGCCUGGGAAACUGGGUCUAAUACCGGAUAGGAGCGUCCACCGCAUGGUGGGUGUUGGAAAGAUUUAUCGGUUUUGGAUGGACUCGCGGCCUAUCAGCUUGUUGGUGAGGUAAUGGCUCACCAAGGCGACGACGGGUAGCCGGCCUGAGAGGGUGACCGGCCACACUGGGACUGAGACACGACCCAGACUCCUACGGGAGGCAGCGGUGGGGAAUAUUGCACAAUGGGCGAAAGCCUGAUGCAGCGACGCCGCGUGAGGGAUGACGGCCUUCGGGUUGUAAACCUCUUUCAGUAGGGAAGAAGCGAAAGUGACGGUACCUGCAGAAGAAGCACCGGCUAACUACGUGCCAGCCGCCGCAGUAA